UAGCGCGGAGCCUGGCCUCACAGCUGAGCGGAGCUGGGAGAUGGGCCAGGGGCUCUCUGCUGCUGAGCCUUGCGGCCUUGCACUGCCAAAGUAGCUUUCCCACUGCUGCCCCUGGGGGAGCCUGAGACCCGAUUGGCCUCCUCCUCCCUGGAACAAGAGGUGGCUGGAUCCUAAGGGGUGUCCUGAGCUGCAGGGGGUCUCUCUGACUUACAAAAGAGUGAGUCAGUCUCCAAAGCCCCAGUCGCCUCAGGGGCCUGGACUUGCAGGAGCAGGGAGGGAGGGAAACCAGGCUGCCAUCUCCUCGGUUUCCAGCCCCGCAGCCCCAGGGGAGGAAGGGCCAGGUGCAACACGCAGGGCAGUUAUGAAACCUGAGAAGCAGCUGGAGGGACACUGGGCCGGUGCUUUGGGAACAGGCAGGUAUUGUGCGCUGGAGUGCAGCGGGGGAAUAGAAUACCCAUCAGCUCAGGCACAAACACCACCCCCGCCUGUGCACAGGGAGGGCCUUUCCAGGAGCCUGGGUGGUUUCAAACUGGAAUGUGAGAGGAAAGCUUGUGCCCACGAGGGCGUUGGUGACUGACACCCAGAAGAAGGGAGGCCCAGCCCUCACCCCUACACAGUUCGAUAGAUCGCAACGCCCAUGCCUGAGACAAUAUCUCCGAGAAUACAGAAACCCCACUGGACUGUUUGCACGGUCCUGUCUGGGGUACCGGGUCACAAACGUCAGUGCCUGCCGCGCCCCUGCACCCCGAAGACAGCUUGUAAGAGGUAGCAAAGCUCAGCGGGAGACUGAGCAACCAGACACGCCGGGCUUGCAAUGGUCAAACACUUCAUCUUUGUACUAGAGACAAAAGCUGUUGCCUGUUUGACUUUUCUCUCUCACGGUGGCUAGAGGCUGGGUAAGGGCAUUCUAGGCAUCUCUGCCACUAAGGUCACCAUAUCCCUCGUACCCCAACUUCCCCCUGGAGAAGGGCUGCACCUGCUCCCUAAAUGCUUGUCUUUUGUGCCUUUGCUUAUACCCUCCUUGUGUCCGCAAGCCUGACCAUUCUGUCAUUAUCUGCCCUUUAUUUCCAAAAUCCAGCUCCUCUGUGUGGCUUUUCCUGAUUCCUGCCCUUAAUUAAACUAUCCCAGUUAACCUUUGAUUGCAAACACCGCUUAUUAUAGCUAGUAGUGCUUACAGACAUCGCCUUAUUCGUGCUACGUCCCCCCCACCCCCACAAAGCCCAAGUGAGCCCCUGCACCGGGCAGCCCUGGCCCAGGAAAUGCUGAUGGACUUGUUGGACCCAAGGACUGAAGCUGCGACAGCUGUGAUCAAUCAAGAUUCCGCAGUCACCGUUCCCCAGGCCACCCGGAGUGUUUCCACGCCAGAGCCUGCUGCUGAGUGGAGAUGUCAUCUGAUUUAUUAAUUAAUGCAAACACUGUUCAUCCAAACGCUCCAGGGCAUGGUUAAAAAAAAAAACCUCAGAACAUUUAAAAAAUGAUAAAAAUAGUA
This is a long non-coding RNA of Lemur catta (Ring-tailed lemur), 1489 nucleotides long. RefSeq lists it as uncharacterized. The transcript is spliced from 3 exons. The record is from RefSeq and is a predicted model, not a curated record. NCBI's taxonomy places the organism in Eukaryota, Metazoa, Chordata, Mammalia, Primates, Lemuridae.